RNAcentral lists this ribosomal RNA (264 nucleotides) under uncultured bacterium. RNAcentral describes it as "partial 16S ribosomal RNA". It matches the Rfam family "Bacterial small subunit ribosomal RNA", at positions 793 to 1055 of the family's 1533-position model. The record is from RNAcentral.
GUCCACGCCGUAAACGGUGGGUGCUAGUUGUGGGUUCCAUUCCACGGAAUCUGUGACGAAGUUAACACAUUAAGCACCCCGCCUGGGGAGUACGGUCGCAAGACUAAAACUCAAAGGAAUUGACGGGGCCCGCACAAGCGGCGGAGCAUGCGGAUUAAUUCGAUGGUAAACGGGGAACCUUACCUGGGCUCAACUACUAGCUGCAAGCCGCCAGAAAUGGCAGCCGCCUUCGAGGGUGCUAGAUAGGUGCUGCAUGGUUGCCGU